This 492-nucleotide ribosomal RNA is filed under the name uncultured bacterium. Its description in RNAcentral is "partial 16S ribosomal RNA". It matches the Rfam family "Bacterial small subunit ribosomal RNA", at positions 29 to 507 of the family's 1533-position model. The record is from RNAcentral.
AGUGAACGCUGGCGGUAGGCCUAACACAUGCAAGUCGAACGGCAGCACAGUAAGAGCUUGCUCUUACGGGUGGCGAGUGGCGGACGGGUGAGGAAUACAUCGGAAUCUACUUUUUCGUGGGGGAUAACGUAGGGAAACUUACGCUAUUACCGCAUACGACCUACGGGUGAAAGCAGGGGAUCUUCGGCUCUUGCGCGAUCGAAUGAGCCGAUGUCGGAUUAGCUAGUUGGCGGGGUAAAGGCCCACCAAGGCGACGAUCCGUAGCUGGUCUGAGAGGAUGAUCAGCCACACUGGAACUGAGACACGGUCCAGACUCCUACGGGAGGCAGCAGUGGGGAAUAUUGGACAAUGGGCGCAAGCCUGAUCCAGCCAUACCGCGUGGGUGAAGAAGGCCUUCGGGUUGUAAAGCCCUUUUGUUGGGAAAGAAAAGCAGCAGGUUAAUACCCCGCUGUUCUGACGGUACCCAAAGAAUAAGCACCGGCUAACUUCGUG